Leptonychotes weddellii (Weddell seal) is the source of this 948-nucleotide long non-coding RNA. RefSeq lists it as uncharacterized. Lineage: Eukaryota; Metazoa; Chordata; Mammalia; Carnivora; Phocidae. The record is from RefSeq and is a predicted model, not a curated record.
CCUCGGGGCAGGAAGCUAUCAGCCCAGACCAGCCUGGCUAAGAACCAGCUUCUAAAACUGACCUCUUCUCCCCAGCCCAAGGCUGAAGGGGCUGUGGAGGCUCCUGGGCUGCCCUUGAGGCUCUCCUGCCUCUGGCACUCGGGCACCUGCGGCCCCCCCGACAGGGCUGUACAGCUGGCUGGCUGGAAGUCAGAAAUGCCUGCCUGGAACUCCGCACUCUGACUCCACAGGAUGGGGAAAGGGGCUUCAAGAAGUGGUGGAACCUGCCCAGAUAACAAAGCCAGUGAGAGACAGGACUGUCUGGCUCUUCAGUAGCCCCAAGCCCCAAAAAUCUGGCCCGCAAGAGUCUGCUGUGAUCACAACAUGAUGCCAUAUCUAAACGCAACACCAGUGCGGAGGGUAAAAGUGAGGCGCAGAGAGGCAGAGUCACGUGCCCAGGCUGCCAACGCGGGCUGACAGGACCCGGCCAGGAUCUAAACUCGGGGCUCUCAGGCUCCACUCAACAGAAGACAAAUGGUUAACCUAUCCCAUCAGACCCUCAAGGGAGGGCCUACGACACCCUCUGCCUCGAAUCCCCUCCCCCUCCCCCUGACUCUAAGUCUGGUUUACAAUUUCACUGGGGUCUUUUACACACUGAUGCAUCUGUUGGUCAGAAGGAGCAGUCCUAGGGGGACAGAAACAAAAGGUCCCAGGAGUUCAAGUCCUAGCUCCUCUAUCUAAUCUCCGCGGCCACACAGCCAAUCCCUUCGCUUCCCUGAGCCUCAGCUGCCCUGGCAAGCUGGGGUUCAUAAUUCCUACCUCACAGUAUUGGUGUGAGGUCUACAUGGGAUAGCAGAUGCUACAGUUCAUGAGAAGCUGCAAACAUCAGAUCUUACUUGUUUUGUGAAAUUCUGAAAAACAUCUUCCUCCAAGGAGGUCAGGGUAGGAUGCAAAGUACUCACCACUCCU